This 477-nucleotide ribosomal RNA is filed under the name Neisseria bacilliformis. Its description in RNAcentral is "bacterial SSU rRNA". It matches the Rfam family "Bacterial small subunit ribosomal RNA", at positions 30 to 495 of the family's 1533-position model. The record is from RNAcentral. Lineage: Bacteria; Pseudomonadati; Pseudomonadota; Betaproteobacteria; Neisseriales; Neisseriaceae.
AUUGAACGCUGGCGGCAUGCUUUACACAUGCAAGUCGGACGGCAGCACAGAGAAGCUUGCUUCUUGGGUGGCGAGUGGCGAACGGGUGAGUAACGCAUCGGAACGUACCGAGUAAUGGGGGAUAACUGUCCGAAAGGACAGCUAAUACCGCAUACGCCCUGAGGGGGAAAGCGGGGGAUCUUAGGACCUCGCGUUAUUCGAGCGGCCGAUGUCUGAUUAGCUGGUUGGCGGGGCAAAGGCCCACCAAGGCGACGAUCAGUAGCGGGUCUGAGAGGAUGAUCCGCCACACUGGGACUGAGACACGGCCCAGACUCCUACGGGAGGCAGCAGCGGGGAAUUUUGGACAAUGGGCGCAAGCCUGAUCCAGCCAUGCCGCGUGUCUGAAGAAGGCCUUCGGGUUGUAAAGGACUUUUGUCAGGGAAGAAAAGGAACGUGUUAAUACCAUGUUCUGAUGACGUACCUGAAGAAUAAGCACCG